This 283-nucleotide unclassified non-coding RNA is filed under the name plant metagenome. RNAcentral describes it as "partial contains small subunit ribosomal RNA, internal transcribed spacer 1, and 5.8S ribosomal RNA". The stretch from base 235 to 283 matches the Rfam family "5.8S ribosomal RNA", at positions 1 to 49 of the family's 154-position model. The record is from RNAcentral.
UUUCCGUAGGUGAACCUGCGGAAGGAUCAUUAUUGUAUAACCGAGGUGCGAGGGCUGUCGCUGACCCGAAAGGUCGUGCACGCCCGAGUGCCCUCACACACAUCCAUCUCACCCCUAUGUGCACCACCGCGUGGGUCCCCCUUUGGCUUGUUCGGAGGGGGGCUUACGUUUUCACACAAACUCUGUAUGCAGUGUAGAAUGUAUUUUUUGUUUUUGCGAUCACGCAAUCAAUACAACUUUCAACAACGGAUCUCUUGGCUCUCGCAUCGAUGGAGAACGCAGC